CCUACGGGAGGCAGCAGUGGGGGAUAUUGCACAAUGGGGGAAACCCUGAUGCAGCGACGCCGCGUGGGUGAAGAAGCGCCUCGGCGCGUAAAGCCCUGUCAGCAGGGAAGAAAAUGACGGUACCUGAAGAAGAAGCCCCGGCUAACUCCGUCCCAGCGGCCGCGGUAAGACGGAGGGGGAAAGCGUUAUCCGGAUUUACUGGGUGUAAAGGGGGCGCAGACGGCGAUGCAAGCCAGGAGUGAAAGCCCGGGGCCCAACCCCGGGACGGCUCUUGGAACUGCGUGGCUGGAGUGCAGGAGGGGCAGGCGGAAUUCCUGGUGUAGCGGUGAAAUGCGUAGAUAUCAGGAGGAACACCGGUGGCGAAGGCGGGCUGCUGGACUGCAACUGACGUUGAGGCCCGAAAGCGUGGGGAGCAAACAGGAUUAGAUACCCGAGUAGUC
RNAcentral lists this ribosomal RNA (440 nucleotides) under uncultured bacterium. RNAcentral's name for it is "partial 16S ribosomal RNA". It matches the Rfam family "Bacterial small subunit ribosomal RNA", at positions 338 to 795 of the family's 1533-position model. The record is from RNAcentral.